CCAGUCAGUCGCUGGUGGUGGUGGUGGCUACUUCCCUUCAGGAAGCCCGGUCUCCGCCCCCUCCUCCCACCCCGUCUGCUCCGCGGCGGAGGCGGCGGUGGCGGCAGCGGUUGUCCCUGCCUCUCCGCCACCUCCACCUCAGCCUAUCCCCCGACCGGUGGCGUUGGCGGGGAGGGGGGCCGUAGUUGUAGACGGCCGCCCCUGCCUCAGAGAAGAUACGACGUCGAAUGAACAAAGAUUGAACUUUUUACAGAUACCUUUUGGAAAAGGCUUGUAAGGAGUAGUGCCAUAGUUUGAAUCACAGUGGAUUCCACGUUAUGAGGUGAAUGGGAGAGGAGUAUUGAACAAAAAUAGAUUUUUAAAUCUCUGCAUCAUGGUUUUUAGCUCCUCAGUGGUUGCACAGUCUCUCUAUUUGGGGAAAGUUCAUGCUAAAAAACUGAAGCAAUUAAUGGGUGAAUAUGAUCAAAUUUCUCCACCAAGUUCUCAACCUGACAAGGGUAAGGUUUCAUUCACCUCUUCAUCGAUCUCUGCACCAUAAUUUAUGACUCUUUUCAACGUGAACUUCAGGAUUACAUUAGAAAGCAGAGAGCCAGAGGAUUACAGCCAGAGGUUUGCUUCAGAAAGGUGACAAAAGACUCU
RNAcentral lists this long non-coding RNA (639 nucleotides) under Sus scrofa (pig). RNAcentral describes it as "lncRNA (ENSSSCG00025073004.1)". Lineage: Eukaryota; Metazoa; Chordata; Mammalia; Artiodactyla; Suidae. The record is from RNAcentral.